GAACCAAUGAACAAAAGACAAAAAGAAAGCAAAAUAGACAAUAGAGUCACAAAGAUUGGAAUGCUUCCUUUGUCUCUCCUCAAUAACAUCCCUUCAAUUAUAGGAUAAUUCACCAUCAAGAUGAAAAAUGAGAGGAACACUUGACCAAACAAAUCACUCAAUCUCCCUUCUAGAAUCCCUUUUCCAAUAACUCCCCAAGUGAAGGAAAUCAUAUUCAAUAUGACUAAUGUAACCAAAGGGACAAUUAGUCUUUUAGAUGCUUGAAAAUUGUAUAUUCCCAUUUGGUAUCUCUUCAAUUGUUCAUCAUCAACAACUUUAUUUGUGGGCAAAAAACUUGCUUUUCUACAGCCAUAUAACUUCAUGAUUGCAUCCAAAGUUCCAUAGAAAUAAGCUGUUAUUGAUUUUAUCAUCCAUACCCUCCAUUCAUUCCACCAUGUUCUCAUUGUCCCUCCAGUGUUCACAACAUCCCACAAGUAUUUUGAAAGUGAGGACAAGAAAAGAAAAGAAUAUACAAAGAACCAUGGACUUGAGACCUUAGGGUAAAUGGGAAUGCCAUUUAGGAGACAAAGCUGAGGAACGAUGGCUAAAAACCAAACUGGGAAGCAAUAGAGAGGCUGAGAAGCAAGGUAAGCAUAACACAUGCAUUCAAGAAAAGGCAUUCUUGAUUUCAAGCCAUAGAUGAGGGGACAAAAUCUUGAGAAAAGAACUUCAACUAGUCCAGAAUUCCAUCUUGUUCCUUGAACUAACGUGUCAUUCAAAUUUGUUGUACUACUGCCUAAAAAAGCUGGCCUUGAAGGGUUACAAAGCACAGAUUUCCAGCCUUUGCAAUGCAUAAUGAAACCUGUGAAGUAGUCUUCCACCACUGAAUGGUACAGGAAUCCUAUCUCUUCUCCCCAUUGUGACUCCUCCUCAUAGGUGCAAGAGGCUAAAAAUCUUGCUUCUUGGAUCUCAUUGUCAGCAAAUUCCUUGAUGCCAGUGUCAUUUUGCUUAUCAUUAAUGCAUGUAAUAACAGUAUUUAGGAAUUCAUUUGAGGAUCCAAAAUACUUCUUCAGCUCACUAAGAUCCAUGUCUUUGUGUAUAGCAGUCCCGUAUAGAGCUUUCCUCUUCAUAUAGAAGCAUGUACCAGAUAGCAUAGGUCCUAUAAGCCCAUCCAUCCCUGGCCACCUGACCACAAAACAAUUUCUCAUGGCAGAAUCAUAAAUAUCAUUCUUGCUAAUGUUGCGAAAUCUUUGAGGGAACUGAACAAAUGCAAGUGAGGGAGAGAUUUUGGGAUCAAGGUGAAAGCACAUUGCUUGUCUAGCUGAAGAUGGAUCAUUGGAGUGCAUAUCACAAUCCAACAUUAAUAUGUAUGGUGAGUUGCUUACGAUUCCAGAAACUCUAAGAAGAACAUUGAGGGCUCCAGCUUUGAAAUGAUGGGGAUGAGAAUUAUUUUUCUCCCUUGAAACAUAAACAAGAGAUGGUAGUUUAGCUUUGCCAUUAUUUUUGGCUCCACAACCUCUCUGGCCUAUUAUCUCAAUUACAGUAUCACGAUUUGGGCCAAACUGGACUCCAGUAUCCUUUGUCCCUCCAUUUUCUUGAGCUUUCUUCAACCGCUCCUUGAACUCCUCGUACUCUUUCUGAAUGUUCUCUCUUUCUAGCAAAUAAUCUUUGCCGCCAUUAAUCUCAUCAUCAGCUGCUUGAAAAAAAGUUUCAGGGCAAAUCCUCUUCACUCCAAAUUCCCUGCAAAACGGAAUCCACACUUCUCCAAAUCUCCACGCUUCACGAACCGCACAUAGCGUCGUAACCGAACCCCCAUCGUCGGAAAGGUACACUGUUACCUUCUCCGGCGGAUAAUCAAUCGCCAUCGCUGAUAAUACAGUGUUCAUAACUCCCAACGCCGGUUCCUUUAUCGGAUCUGCCGUACAUACAAAAACGUCGAUUGCCGGUAGUUCAUCGUCGGGCGGCAAGUUUUCCGGGUAGACGUAGCGGGUAACUGGAGAGAAUAUAUGAGCUGAGUCGAGUGUCCUAAGGAAGGAGAGAAUUAGCUCGGAAACGAAGAUUAGGAACCAGUAAGGUAAAAAUGAGAUUGGAAUUUCGUUGAGAUUGAUUAUUAGUCUGUAGUAGAGCAUGAAGAGUAUUGCUAUUGAGUGAAUAAAAGUGUGACUUCUGGUUACUGUGGCUGAAAAUGUGUCCACUGUAACCUUUUGCAGAGGAGGAAGAGUUUCCAUUUUUU
Molecule: unclassified non-coding RNA, 2212 nt
Filed under: Hevea brasiliensis (rubber tree)
Lineage: Eukaryota; Viridiplantae; Streptophyta; Magnoliopsida; Malpighiales; Euphorbiaceae
Source: RNAcentral